RNAcentral lists this ribosomal RNA (468 nucleotides) under uncultured bacterium. RNAcentral describes it as "partial 16S ribosomal RNA". It matches the Rfam family "Bacterial small subunit ribosomal RNA", at positions 28 to 507 of the family's 1533-position model. The record is from RNAcentral.
GACGAACGCUGGCGGCGUGCUUAACACAUGCAAGUCGAACGGAAAGGCCCUGCUUUUGUGGGGUGCUCGAGUGGCGAACGGGUGAGUAACACGUGAGUAACCUGCCCUUGACUUUGGGAUAACUUCAGGAAACUGGGGCUAAUACCGGAUAGGAGCUCCUGCUGCAUGGUGGGGAUUGGAAAGUUUCGGCGGUUGGGGAUGGACUCGCGGCUUAUCAGCUUGUUGGUGGGGUAGUGGCUUACCAAGGCUUUGACGGGUAGCCGGCCUGAGAGGGUGACCGGCCACAUUGGGACUGAGAUACGGCCCAGACUCCUACGGGAGGCAGCAGUGGGGAAUAUUGCACAAUGGGCGGAAGCCUGAUGCAGCAACGCCGCGUGCGGGAUGACGGCCUUCGGGUUGUAAACCGCUUUCGCCUGUGACGAAGCGUGAGUGACGGUAAUGGGUAAAGAAGCACCGGCUAACUACGUC